AUACGUACCGCACGAACGUUAUUCGGAAUCACUGGGCUUAAAGGGUGCGUAGGCGGCUUGGAAGGUGGGGUGUGAAAUCCCUCGGCUCAACCGAGGAACUGCGUUCAAAACCACCAAGCUUGAGGAAGGCAGAGGUGAGCGGAACUGAUGGUGGAGCGGUGAAAUGCGUUGAUAUCAUCAGGAACACCGGUGGCGAAGGCGGCUCACUGGGCCUUUUCUGACGCUGAGGCACGAAAGCUAGGGGAGCGAACGGGAUUAGAUACCCCAGUAGUCC
RNAcentral lists this ribosomal RNA (274 nucleotides) under uncultured bacterium. Its description in RNAcentral is "partial 16S ribosomal RNA". It matches the Rfam family "Bacterial small subunit ribosomal RNA", at positions 523 to 796 of the family's 1533-position model. The record is from RNAcentral.